This is a non-coding RNA of Schistosoma margrebowiei, 46 nucleotides long. The record is from Rfam. Lineage: Eukaryota; Metazoa; Platyhelminthes; Trematoda; Strigeidida; Schistosomatidae.
GCACUGUUGAAGCGUUCCACAAUAGGACGAAACGGCCGUCCAGUAC